RNAcentral lists this ribosomal RNA (495 nucleotides) under uncultured bacterium. RNAcentral's name for it is "bacterial SSU rRNA". It matches the Rfam family "Bacterial small subunit ribosomal RNA", at positions 28 to 509 of the family's 1533-position model. The record is from RNAcentral.
GAUGAACGCUAGCGGCAGGCUUAAUACAUGCAAGUUGAGGGGCAGCAUGAUAUACGCGAGUAUAUUGAUGGCGACCGGCGGACGGGUGAGUAAUAGGUAGGAGACCUACCUCAUACAGGGGGAUAGCAUAGAGAAAUCUGUGGUAAUACCCCAUGAGGUUAUAUGAAUAGAGGCAUAUAAUCAAAGCAUAAGCGAUUAUGCGGUAUGAGAGGGGCCUACUGACCAUUAGCUAGUUGGUGAGGUAAGGGCUCACCAAGGCGAAGAUGGUUAGGGGUUUUGAGAGAGAGACCCCCCACAUUGGAACUGAGAGACGGUCCAGACUCCUACGGGAGGCAGCAGUAGGGAAUAUUGGGCAAUGGGCGAAAGCCUGACCCAGCCAUGCCGCGUGAAGGAAGACGGCCUUAGGGUUGUAAACUUCUUUACUACGCGAAUAGAGGUUAGUACGAGAUACUAAUAGGAAGGUAGUGUAGUAAAAGCACCGGCUAACUCCGUGCC